This 492-nucleotide ribosomal RNA is filed under the name uncultured bacterium. Its description in RNAcentral is "partial 16S ribosomal RNA". It matches the Rfam family "Bacterial small subunit ribosomal RNA", at positions 29 to 507 of the family's 1533-position model. The record is from RNAcentral.
AGUGAACGCUGGCGGUAGGCCUAACACAUGCAAGUCGAACGGCAGCACAGUAAGAGCUUGCUCUUACGGGUGGCGAGUGGCGGACGGGUGAGGAAUACAUCGGAAUCUACUUUUUCGUGGGGGAUAACGUAGGGAAACUUACGCUAAUACCGCAUACGACCUACGGGUGAAAGCAGGGGAUCUUCGCACCUUGCGCGAUUGAAUGAGCCGAUGUCGGAUUAGCUAGUUGGCGGGGUAAAGGCCCACCAAGGCGACGAUCCGUAGCUGGUCUGAGAGGAUGAUCAGCCACAUGGGAGCUGAGACACGGUCCAGACUCCUACGGGAGGCAGCAGUGGGGAAUAUUGGACAAUGGGCGCAAGCCUGGUCCAGCCAUACCGCGUGGGUGAAGAAGGCCUUCGGGUUGUAAAGCCCUUUUGUUGGGAAAGAAAAGCAGCAGGUUAAUACCCCGCUGUUCUGACGGUACCCAAAGAAUAAGCACCGGCUAACUUCGUG